CAGCUCAGUGGUAGCACAUCUGCUUUGCAUGCACAAGGUCCCAGGUUCAAUCCCUGGCAUAUAGU
RNAcentral lists this transfer RNA (65 nucleotides) under Podarcis lilfordi (Lilford's wall lizard). RNAcentral describes it as "tRNA.Ala". The record is from RNAcentral. Lineage: Eukaryota; Metazoa; Chordata; Lepidosauria; Squamata; Lacertidae.